This 78-nucleotide transfer RNA is filed under the name Lacipirellula limnantheis. RNAcentral's name for it is "Planctomycetes bacterium I41 tRNA-Leu". The record is from RNAcentral. Lineage: Bacteria; Pseudomonadati; Planctomycetota; Planctomycetia; Pirellulales; Lacipirellulaceae.
ACACGCGGUACGCUAACUGACGAAGCGACGAAGCUCAAACCUUCGUGACCCUCUGCUGGUUCGACUCCUGCAGGUGCU